This 253-nucleotide ribosomal RNA is filed under the name uncultured bacterium. Its description in RNAcentral is "partial 16S ribosomal RNA". It matches the Rfam family "Bacterial small subunit ribosomal RNA", at positions 524 to 776 of the family's 1533-position model. The record is from RNAcentral.
UACGUAGGAGGCGAGCGUUGUCCGGAAUCACUGGGUGUAAAGCGCGUGUAGGCGGCCUGUCAAGUCUGCUGUGAAAGCGCCUGGCUUAACCGGGCGAGGUCGGUGGAAACUGGCGGGCUGGAGGACGGUAGAGGGGGGUGGAAUUCCCGGUGUAGUGGUGAAAUGCGUAGAGAUCGGGAGGAACACCAGUGGCGAAGGCGGCCCCCUGGGCCGCUCCUGACGCUGAGGAGCGAAAGCAUGGGGAGCGAACAGG